This 83-nucleotide small RNA is filed under the name Marmota monax (woodchuck). The record is from RNAcentral. Lineage: Eukaryota; Metazoa; Chordata; Mammalia; Rodentia; Sciuridae.
GCUGGGUGCAGUGGCGCACACCUGUAAUCCCAGUGGCUCAGGAGGCUGAGGCAGGAAGACUGCAAGUUCAAAUCCAGCCUCAG